UUCAUUUUCUGGGAGUAUUCCUGGUGAUUUCAAGGAACUUGCAUUGUGUGGUUACCUUAGUUUGCGAGGGAAUGCUUUUUCUGGAGAGCUUCCUGAGUGGAUUGGGGAGAUGAGAGGUCUUGAAACGUUGGACCUUUCAAACAAUGGGCUUACUGGUCAGGUUCCAAACUCUGUUGGAAAUCUUCAGUCAUUGAAGAUGUUGAAUUUUUCUGGGAAUAGUUUCGGUGGUAGUCUUCCUGAGUCUAUGGCUAAUUGUACGAAACUUUUGGUGUUGGAUGCCAGCCGGAAUUCGAUGUCCGGGGGGCUUCCAUUGUGGAUUUUCAAGUCAGAUUUGGACAAGGUUUUGUUGUCGGAAAAUGGCGCAAGUGGUAGCAAGAAAAGCCCUUUGAUUUCCUUGGCUGAAGUUGCAGUUCAGAGUCUUCAAGUUUUGGAUUUGUCUCACAAUGCAUUUUCUGGUGAAAUCACAUCUGCUGUUGGAGGUUUAAGCAGCUUGCAUGUUUUGAAUUUAGCAAAUAACUCUCUUAUAGGUCCUAUACCAGCUGCAAUUGGUGAGUUGAAAACAUGUUCUAGUCUUGAUUUGAGCUAUAAUAAUCUAAAUGGAACUAUACCUUGGCAAAUAGGAGGAGCUGUGUCCUUGAAAGAACUGGUACUGAAAAAGAACUUCCUAAUUGGGAAAAUUCCAAUGUCAAUUGAGAACUGCACUUUGCUAACUACUCUGUAAGUUCCUUUUCCCUGUCCCAUCUUUCAUUUCGGCUUUUCAUACAUGCGCUUGUAUUUACAGUAGGUAUAUAAGUGUUGCUCUCAUAAUUUUCAUCAGACGGAUAACUUUUCUGCAUGCUGUAUAUUUGGUGAAAGGUGCUUAUCUCACUUUAAUACACUCUUUAAUGCAUAUAAACUAAAAAGCCAGCCUGUUUGUUCAUUGUUCAUAUGCACAUGAUGGAAUUUUUCUUUGCUUAUUAUCAUUUAUUUAUUCUAUGUUGUAUUGAAAUGUGUCUUUUAUCAUAAUACUGAAAGUCUUGGCCUCGAUUUAAUCUGGCAUGGAGUUUUGGUAUUUUUGGCUUAAUCUCGAUCAAUUCAGUAGUUUUGGAGCUGCAACAACUUGGUUAAGUUCAUCUGUACUUCUAAACUUUUAUAUGCCCACCCUGCAAAAUAGUAAAGGCACAAAGGUUGAAGAAAUUAUGUCAAUAAUUCAUAUUUGGGGAAUGGAUGGUGACGGUGACAGUGACAUGAAUGACUUAUUAUAUUUUUUCUCGGAACAUAACUAUCUGUUACUAAUGUGUGGCUUUAAAGAUAAUAGCACUGCACUUUCAUGCAUUGUUGUUUUUUUCUUAAUUAUAAUAGGAGCUAUUAUGUAGGUUUUGUAGUCCUGAGUUAAAUUUUUAAAAAUCAUACAGUAAGAUGAGAUCCAACUGCUCCUUUUUUUAUUGUUCUGAUUUCCCUGGUUCUGCUUUGUUUUCUUUACCCCUUUCUCUUUUGGUACGUUCUGUAGGAGCCUAUCCCAGAACUGGCUGAGUGGCCCUAUACCUGCAGCAGUUGCAAAACUUACCAACCUGCAAACUGUGGACUUAUCUUACAACAACCUUACUGGAAACCUUCCUAAGCAACUGGCCAACCUUGCCAAUCUUCUUGCAUUCAAUUUAUCUCACAACAACC
This 1653-nucleotide long non-coding RNA is filed under the name Phaseolus vulgaris (common bean). RNAcentral's name for it is "long non-coding RNA (PVUL_LNC001052)". Lineage: Eukaryota; Viridiplantae; Streptophyta; Magnoliopsida; Fabales; Fabaceae. The record is from RNAcentral.